RNAcentral lists this ribosomal RNA (547 nucleotides) under Salmonella enterica subsp. enterica serovar Enteritidis. RNAcentral's name for it is "partial 23S ribosomal RNA". It matches the Rfam family "Bacterial large subunit ribosomal RNA", at positions 679 to 1224 of the family's 2925-position model. The record is from RNAcentral. Lineage: Bacteria; Pseudomonadati; Pseudomonadota; Gammaproteobacteria; Enterobacterales; Enterobacteriaceae.
GAGUCUUAAUUGGGCGUUAAGUUGCAGGGUAUAGACCCGAAACCCGGUGAUCUAGCCAUGGGCAGGUUGAAGGUUGGGUAACACUAACUGGAGGACCGAACCGACUAAUGUUGAAAAAUUAGCGGAUGACCUGUGGCUGGGGGUGAAAGGCCAAUCAAACCGGGAGAUAGCUGGUUCUCCCCGAAAGCUAUUUAGGUAGCGCCUCGUGAAUUCAUCUCCGGGGGUAGAGCACUGUUUCGGCUAGGGGGCCAUCCCGGCUUACCAACCCGAUGCAAACUGCGAAUACCGGAGAAUGUUAUCACGGGAGACACACGGCGGGUGCUAACGUCCGUCGUGAAGAGGGAAACAACCCAGACCGCCAGCUAAGGUCCCAAAGUCAUGGUUAAGUGGGAAACGAUGUGGGAAGGCCCAGACAGCCAGGAUGUUGGCUUAGAAGCAGCCAUCAUUUAAAGAAAGCGUAAUAGCUCACUGGUCGAGUCGGCCUGCGCGGAAGAUGUAACGGGGCUAAACCAUGCACCGAAGCUGCGGCAGCGACACUGUGUGUUGU